RNAcentral lists this ribosomal RNA (430 nucleotides) under Scolopendra sp. CES07250. RNAcentral describes it as "partial 16S ribosomal RNA". It matches the Rfam family "Bacterial large subunit ribosomal RNA", at positions 1928 to 2600 of the family's 2925-position model. The record is from RNAcentral. Lineage: Eukaryota; Metazoa; Arthropoda; Chilopoda; Scolopendromorpha; Scolopendridae.
UAGCCGCAGUAUUUUGACUGUGCGAAGGUAGCGUGAUAAUUAGGCUAUUAAUUGUAGUCUUGAAUGAAUGGUUAGACAUAAAACUUUCUGUUUUAUUUGUAUGGGUGAAUUUUAAUAAUUAGUAAAAAUGCUAAUAUGAGAUAUGAGGACGAGAAGACCCUAUUGAGUUUAAUAUAACCGUUUUGAGGGUAGUAGUGUGGGUUAAAAUAGGUAUAUUUAGUUGGGGCGACUUUUUUAUGAAACAUUAAAUGUAAAUGAUUUAUUGAUCCAUUAUUAAUGAUUAAUAGAAUAAAUUACCAUAGGGAUAACAGCAUAAUUUUAUCGUGGAGUUCGUAUCUAUGAUAAAGUUUGUGACCUCGAUGUUGAAUCAAGAUUCCUAGUGGGCGCAGGAGCUCAUUAAGGUAGACUGUUCGUCUAUUAAAUUCUUACG